This 376-nucleotide ribosomal RNA is filed under the name uncultured bacterium. RNAcentral describes it as "bacterial SSU rRNA". It matches the Rfam family "Bacterial small subunit ribosomal RNA", at positions 524 to 898 of the family's 1533-position model. The record is from RNAcentral.
AACGUAGGAGGCUAGCGUUAUCCGGAUUUAUUGGGCGUAAAGCGCGUGCAGGCGGUCUGGUAAGUUGGAUGUGAAAGCUCCUGGCUUAACUGGGAGAGGUCGUUCAAUACUGUCAGACUAGAGAAUGGGAGAGGGAGGUGGAAUUCCGGGUGUAGUGGUGAAAUGCGUAGAUAUCCGGAGGAACACCAGUGGCGAAAGCGGCCUCCUGGACCACUUCUGACGCUAAGACGCGCAAGCUAGGGUAGCAAACGGGAUUAGAGACCCCGGUAGUCCUAGCUGUAAACGAUGUGAACUUGGCGUUGGCGGAGUUAAAUCUGCCAGUGCCGAAGCUAACGCGAUAAGUUCACCGCCUGGGGACUACGACCGCAAGGUUAAA